AGAGUUUGAUCCUGGCUCAGGAUGAACGCAGGCGGCGUGCUUAACACAUGCAAGUCGAACGAUCCUUCGGGAUAGUGGCGGACGGGUGAGUAACGCGUGGGAAUCUGCCCUCAGGAGGGGGAUAACGGCUGGAAACGGCCGCUAAUACCCCAUAUGCCGAGAGGUGAAAUGAAUUUCGCCUGAGGAUGAGCCCGCGUCUGAUUAGCUAGUUGGUGGGGUAAAGGCCUACCAAGGCAACGAUCAGUAGCUGGUCUGAGAGGAUGAUCAGCCACACUGGGACUGAGACACGGCCCAGACUCCUACGGGAGGCAGCAGUGGGGAAUUUUCCGCAAUGGGCGAAAGCCUGACGGAGCAACGCCGCGUGAGGGAUGAAGGCCUCUGGGCUGUAAACCUCUUUUCUCAAGGAAGAAGACCUGACGGUACUUGAGGAAUAAGCCACGGCUAAUUCCGUGCCAGCAGCCGCGGUAAUACGGGAGUGGCAAGCGUUAUCCGGAAUUAUUGGGCGUAAAGCGUCCGCAGGCGGCCUUGUAAGUCUGUUGUUAAAGCGUGGAGCUCAACUCCAUUUAAGCAAUGGAAACUACAAGGCUGGAGUGUGGUAGGGGCAGAGGGAAUUCCCGGUGUAGCGGUGAAAUGCGUAGAUAUCGGGAAGAACACCAGUGGCGAAGGCGCUCUGCUGGGCCAUAACUGACGCUCAUGGACGGAAGCCAGGGGAGCGAAAGGGAUUAGAUACCCCUGUAGUCCUGGCCGUAAACGAUGAACACUAGGUGUCGGGGGAAUCGACCCCCUCGGUGUCGUAGCCAACGCGUUAAGUGUUCCGCCUGGGGAGUACGCACGCAAGUGUGAAACUCAAAGGAAUUGACGGGGGCCCGCACAAGCGGUGGAGUAUGUGGUUUAAUUCGAUGCAACGCGAAGAACCUUACCAGGGUUUGACAUCCUGCGAACCCCUGAGAAAUCGGGGGGUGCCUUCGGGAGCGCAGAGACAGGUGGUGCAUGGCUGUCGUCAGCUCGUGUCGUGAGAUGUUGGGUUAAGUCCCGCAACGAGCGCAACCCACGUCUUUAGUUGCCAGCAUUCAGUUGGGCACUCUAGAGAGACCGCCGGUGAUAAACCGGAGGAAGGUGUGGAUGACGUCAAGUCAUCAUGCCCCUUACAUCCUGGGCUACACACGUACUACAAUGCUACGGACAAAGGGCAGCAAGCUCGCGAGAGUUAGCAAAUCCCAUAAACCGUGGCUCAGUUCAGAUCGUAGGCUGCAACUCGCCUACGUGAAGGAGGAAUCGCUAGUAAUCGCAGGUCAGCAUACUGCGGUGAAUACGUUCCCGGGCCUUGUACACACCGCCCGUCACACCAUGGAAGUUGGCCAUGCCCGAAGUCGUUACUCCAACCCUUGUGGAGGAGGACGCCGAAGGUGGGGCUGAUGACUGGGGUGAAGC
This 1431-nucleotide ribosomal RNA is filed under the name metagenome. Its description in RNAcentral is "bacterial SSU rRNA". It matches the Rfam family "Bacterial small subunit ribosomal RNA". The record is from RNAcentral.